This 69-nucleotide transfer RNA is filed under the name Lepinotus reticulatus. RNAcentral describes it as "tRNA-Ser". Lineage: Eukaryota; Metazoa; Arthropoda; Insecta; Psocodea; Trogiidae. The record is from RNAcentral.
AGGUAAUUAAUUUAUGUAAAAUAACUAUUUUGAAAAUAGUUUUAAGAAAAUAAACACUUCUAUUACCUU